RNAcentral lists this ribosomal RNA (465 nucleotides) under uncultured bacterium. Its description in RNAcentral is "partial 16S ribosomal RNA". It matches the Rfam family "Bacterial small subunit ribosomal RNA", at positions 28 to 507 of the family's 1533-position model. The record is from RNAcentral.
GACGAACGCUGGCGGCGUGCUUAACACAUGCAAGUCGAACGGAAAGGCCCUGCUUGCAGGGUACUCGAGUGGCGAACGGGUGAGUAACACGUGGGUGAUCUGCCCUGCACUUCGGGAUAAGCCUGGGAAACUGGGUCUAAUACCGGAUAGGAGCCAUUUUUAGUGUGAUGGUUGGAAAGUUUUUUCGGUGUAGGAUGGGCUCGCGGCCUAUCAGCUUGUUGGUGGGGUAAUGGCCUACCAAGGCGGCGACGGGUAGCCGGCCUGAGAGGGUGGACGGCCACAUUGGGACUGAGAUACGGCCCAGACUCCUACGGGAGGCAGCAGUGGGGAAUAUUGCACAAUGGGCGCAAGCCUGAUGCAGCGACGCCGCGUGGGGGAGGACGGCCUUCGGGUUGUAAACUCCUUUCGCUAGGGACGAAGCUUUUUGUGACGGUACCUAGAUAAGAAGCACCGGCUAACUACGUG